GCUGUGGCUGGGGCUCAGUGGUAGUGCACUUGCCUGGCAUGUGUGAGGCACUGGGUUCGAUUCCCAGCACUGCG
RNAcentral lists this transfer RNA (74 nucleotides) under Marmota monax (woodchuck). RNAcentral describes it as "tRNA.Ala". Lineage: Eukaryota; Metazoa; Chordata; Mammalia; Rodentia; Sciuridae. The record is from RNAcentral.